This 1234-nucleotide ribosomal RNA is filed under the name metagenome. RNAcentral describes it as "bacterial SSU rRNA". It matches the Rfam family "Bacterial small subunit ribosomal RNA", at positions 276 to 1520 of the family's 1533-position model. The record is from RNAcentral.
ACGAUGGCUAGCCGGCCUGAGAGGGUGAUCGGCCACAAGGGGACUGAGACACGGCCCUUACUCCUACGGGAGGCAGCAGGGGGGAAUAUUGGACAAUGGACUAAAAGUCUGAUCCAGCAAUUCUGUGUGCACGAUGAAGGUUUUCGGAUCGUAAAGUGCUUUCAGUAGGGGAGAAAAAAAUGACGGUACCUACAGAAGAAGCGACGGCUAAAUACGUGCCAGCAGCCGCGGUAAUACGUAUGUCGCAAGCGUUAUCCGGAAUUAUUGGGCGUAAAGCGCGUCUAGGCGGCCUUCUAAGUCUGAUGUUAAAAUGCGGGGCUCAACUCCGUAUUGCGUUGGAAACUGGAUGGCUAGAGUAUCAGAGAGGUGGGCGGAACUACAAGUGUAGAGGUGAAAUUCGUAGAUAUUUGUAGGAAUGCCGAUUGGGAAGCCAGCUCACUGGAUGAAUACUGACGCUAAAGCGCGAAAGCGUGGGGAGCAAACGGGAUUAGAUACCCCGGUAGUCCACGCCGUAAACGAUGAUCACUAAGUGUGGGGGGUCGAACCUCCGUGCUCAAGCUAACGCGAUAAGUGAUCCGCCUGGGGAGUACGCACGCAAGUGUGAAACUCAAAGGAAUUGACGGGGACCCGCACAAGCGGUGGAGCAUGUGGUUUAAUUCGACGCAACGCGAGGAACCUUACCAGCCCUUGACAUCCCAAGAACUUAGCAGAGAUGCUUUGGUGCCUUUUCGGAGGAACUUGGUGACAGGUGGUGCAUGGCUGUCGUCAGCUCGUGUCGUGAGAUGUUGGGUUAAGUCCCGCAACGGGCGCAACCCCUUUCGUAUGUUACCAUCGUUAAGUUGGGGACUCAUGCGAUACUGCCGGUGACAAACCGGAGGAAGGUGGGGAUGACGUCAAGUCAUCAUGCCCCUUAUGGGCUGGGCUACACACGUGCUACAAUGGGCGAUACAGAGAGUUGCGAUACCGCGAGGUGGAGCUAAUCUCAGAAAGUCGUUCUUAGUUCGGAUCGCAGUCUGCAACUCGACUGCGUGAAGUUGGAAUCGCUAGUAAUCGCGAAUCAGCAAUGUCGCGGUGAAUACGUUCUCGGGUCUUGUACACACCGCCCGUCACACCGCGAGAGUUGGUUGCACCUGAAGUAGCAGGCCUAACCCGUUUACGGGAAGGAUGUUCCUAAGGUGUGAUUGGCGAUUGGGGUGAAGUCGUAACAAGGUAUCCGUACGGGAACGUGCGGAUG